RNAcentral lists this ribosomal RNA (460 nucleotides) under uncultured bacterium. RNAcentral's name for it is "partial 16S ribosomal RNA". It matches the Rfam family "Bacterial small subunit ribosomal RNA", at positions 338 to 795 of the family's 1533-position model. The record is from RNAcentral.
CCUACGGGAGGCAGCAGUGAGGAAUAUUGGUCAAUGGACGAGAGUCUGAACCAGCCAAGUAGCGUGAAGGAUGACUGCCCUCUGGGUUGUAAACUUCUUUUAUAUGGGAAUAAAACAGGGUAUGCAUACCCUCUUGUAUGUACCAUAUGAUUAAGGAUCGGCUAACUCCGUGCAAGCAGCCACGGUAAUACGGAGGAUCCGAGCGUUAUCCGGAUUUAUUGGGUUUAAAGGGAGCGUAGGUGGAUUGUUAAGUCAGUUGUGAAAGUUUGCGGCUCAACCGUAAAAGUGCAGUUGAAAAUGGUAGUCUUGAGUAUAGUAGAGGUGGGCGGAAUUCGUGGUGUAGCGGUGAAAUGCUUAGAUAUCACGAAGAACUCUGAUUGCGAAGGCAGCCCACUGGACUGCAACUGACACUGAUGCGCGAAAGUGUGGGUAUCAAACAGGAGUAGAUACCCGGGUAGUC